This 237-nucleotide ribosomal RNA is filed under the name uncultured bacterium. RNAcentral describes it as "partial 16S ribosomal RNA". It matches the Rfam family "Bacterial small subunit ribosomal RNA", at positions 99 to 334 of the family's 1533-position model. The record is from RNAcentral.
CGAACGGGUGAGUAACGCGUGAGGAACCUGCCUCAAAGAGGGGGACAACAGUUGGAAACGACUGCUAAUACCGCAUAAGCCCACGACCCGGCAUCGGGUAGAGGGAAAAGGAGCAAUCCGCUUUGAGAUGGCCUCGCGUCCGAUUAGCUAGUUGGUGAGGUAACGGCCCACCAAGGCGACGAUCGGUAGCCGGACUGAGAGGUUGAACAGCCACAUUGGGACUGAGACACGGCCCAG